RNAcentral lists this ribosomal RNA (457 nucleotides) under uncultured bacterium. RNAcentral's name for it is "partial 16S ribosomal RNA". It matches the Rfam family "Bacterial small subunit ribosomal RNA", at positions 355 to 828 of the family's 1533-position model. The record is from RNAcentral.
UGGGGAAUAUUGGACAAUGGGGGCAACCCUGAUCCAGCAAUGCCGCGUGUGUGAAGAAGGUCUUCGGAUUGUAAAGCACUUUCGACGGGGACGAUGAUGACGGUACCCGUAGAAGAAGCCCCGGCUAACUUCGUGCCAGCAGCCGCGGUAAUACGAAGGGGGCUAGCGUUGCUCGGAAUGACUGGGCGUAAAGGGCGUGUAGGCGGUUUACACAGUCAGAUGUGAAAUCCCCGGGCUUAACCUGGGAGCUGCAUUUGAUACGUGUAGACUAGAGUGUGAGAGAGGGUUGUGGAAUUCCCAGUGGUAGAGGUGAAAUUCGUAGAUAUUGGGAAGAACACCGGUGGCGAAGGCGGCAACCUGGCUCAUGACUGACGCUGAGGCGCGAAAGCGUGGGGAGCAAACAGGAUUAGAUACCCUGGUAGUCCACNCUGUAAACGAUGUGUGCUAGAUGUUGGGU